RNAcentral lists this long non-coding RNA (223 nucleotides) under Arabidopsis lyrata. RNAcentral's name for it is "long non-coding RNA (ALYR_LNC002055)". Lineage: Eukaryota; Viridiplantae; Streptophyta; Magnoliopsida; Brassicales; Brassicaceae. The record is from RNAcentral.
UUUUAUAUUUAAAAUAUUAAUCAUUUAAAUUAAUAAGUAAAAACAUAUUAAAGUUUUAAUUAAAAUAAAACAUAUAACAUUAACAUUGAAAACAUAAGAAAAUUACAAAGUUACAAAAACUUGAAAAAAACAAACUUAACAUACAAUUAAAACAUUAAGAAUGAAAAACAUAAAACAUACUAACAUUAAAAAUAAAAACAAACAUUUUAUUCAAUUCAUAGAA